UAAAAUUCUAAAUUUGAUAGUGAUAGUGAUAUUAAUUCCUAACUGAUUCAAAUGGCAAAUAACGUUUCUAAAUUUAUCAUAUCAGUCCUGCUUUAAUUUUCGCGGACAAAUGUUAGUUUUGAGCACAAAUUUAACCUGAUAAUUCAUAUGUGUAUAUAUAAUUGUGGAUGUGUGACAUUUAUAUUUUCUAUUUUAUUUUCGAUUGAAGAAUAUUUCCAAGAAAAAAAUUAUACAAGCUGUACACAUAUUUAUAAAUAAACUCAUCAUAUAUAUCAGGACUAAAUUUUAUAUAUACGCCAGACGCUCGUUUCGUCUACAAAAGACUCAUCAGUGACGCUCGAAUCCAAAAAAGUAAAAAAAAAGCCAAAUAAAGUACGAAGUUGAGGAGCAUUGAGAUCCAAAAUUCCUAAAAGUGUUGCCAAAUACAGCUAAGGUAAUCAAUGCCUGAGGUAGAAAAGCCUUAGUAUUUCAAGAAAUUCAAAAUUUUGUAAACAGUUAAUUUAUAGAUACAACAAUAUCCAUGAUAAUUCAUGUAAGCACAAAAAGUGCUGACUACUGGGCUUGUGAU
This 568-nucleotide long non-coding RNA is filed under the name Mytilus galloprovincialis (Mediterranean mussel). Lineage: Eukaryota; Metazoa; Mollusca; Bivalvia; Mytilida; Mytilidae. The record is from RNAcentral.